Molecule: long non-coding RNA, 2068 nt
Filed under: Marmota monax (woodchuck)
Lineage: Eukaryota; Metazoa; Chordata; Mammalia; Rodentia; Sciuridae
Source: RNAcentral
UGCCUCAGUCUCUCAAGCCNUACAGUCUUGCCCUUGCUGAGGCUGGCUUUGAACUCAUCCUCCUGCCUCAGCCUCCUGAGUUGAUGGGAUUACAGGCAUGCACCACCAUGCCCAGCUGGGAAGAUUUUCAUUUGGGCUUUGUAUUUUGCUCAACAUGAGAAAAUUUACUCCAUAAAUGUAAGGAAUGUGGAAAGACCUUUUUUUAUGGCUCAAAUUUUCAUCAUCACUAGGAAACUCAUACUGGUAAGAAAAUCUAUGAAUGCAAGGAAUGUGCAAAGAGCUUUUUUUUCAUGACUCAGAACUUAAUUAACAUCAUUUCCCAUACCAGAAAGAGACUCACAUGAAUGUGAAGAGUAUGGGAAAUCUGUAUCUAGGACUCCACCAUUUCUGUGACAGAAAAAAUCCAUACUGAUGCAUAACCCUAUGAAGAGAAGAAAAGUAACCACAUCUUUAGUUACACUUCAUAUUUUACUAAGCAGAAAAUUCACCAUGGUGAGAACCACUAUGAAUGGACACUUUUCGAACACCUUUAAUCAUGACUCAAUGUUUGCUCAACAGCAUAAUAUUUACACUAUUGAAAAGUAUAAUGAAUAUGAAGAUUUAGAGAAUGUUUUCUUUAAGCUCAGUUUUAUCUAUUAUCAUAUAAAAACUUAGGAAUAGUUUUAUUUAUAACAAUAUAACAUUGAAGUUCAUUAAUUCAUCCUUUUGAGAAACACCAAAGUAUAAUAUGGAAGGCAUUCUGAAAUGGUAUAGAAUUCACCCAUCUACAGAAAAUUCACAAUGCAAUCUAUAUUAAUUUAGGAAAGGAUUUACUGAUUCAUCAUCAUUAUGGAAUAUCAGGGUUAAGUUUUUUAAAAAACUUUUAAAAAGUUGUUUCAUCUUGCUCAUAAGGAAAAUGCAAGACACCCCCAAAAUGCAAGAAAUGAAACUAAGAAUCAAUAAGAAGGAUGCCAUCAAACCAAAAUGCUUUUGCACAGCAAAGGAAAUGAUUAAAAGCAUGAAGAGAGAGCCUACAGAAUGGGAGAAAAUAUUGACCAGCUACAUCCAAUAGGGGAUAAAUAUCCAGAAUAUUUGAGAAAUAACUCAAAAAGCUUAACAUCAAAAAAGAAAAACCUAUAACCAAAUCAAUAAGUGGGCAAGAGAACUAAACAAACUUCUCAAAAGAAGAAACACAAAUAGCUAACAAAUAUAUGAAAAAAUGGUCAAUAUAUCUAGCAAGUAGAGACAUGUAGAUCAAAACUACACUAAGAUUUCAUUUCCCUCUAGUAUGAGCGGCCAUGAUUAAGAAUACGAAUAAUAAUAAAUGCUGGCAAGGUCAUAGGGGAAAGGUAUAUUCGUACUUUAUUUGUGGCGCUGCAGACUAGUACAACCACUCUUGAAAGCAGUAUGGAGAUUGCUCAAAAAACUAGGAAUGGAACCAUCAUAUGACUCAGCUGUCCCACUCCCUUGAAUUUUCCCAAAAGAUCUAAAAUCAGCAUAAUACAUCCACAUCAGUGCUUACAGCAGUGCAGUUCACAAUAGCUAAAUUAUGUAAUCAACCCAGAUGCCAUCAAUAAAUGAACAGAUUAAGAAAUUGUUGUAUAUGUGUAUACAAUGGAGUUCUACUCAGGCAUGAAAAAGAAUGAAAUCAUGUCAUUUACCAGUAAGUUAGAAAUGGACGAUAUCAUGAUAAGUGGAAUUAGCCAAACUCAAAGACUCAAAGGUUGAUUGUUUUCUCUCCUAAGCUAGAGUGAAAUAAAGAAAAGGGGAAGGGAAGGCUAGAUAACAUAAAGAACCAAAUACAGAAGUUCACUGAAUUAGAUAAAGGGAAAUGAAGGAAGGGAGGGGGAAUGGGAAUAGGAAAUACUGGAAUGAGUCCGACAUAAUUUUCGUAUGUACAUGUAUGAACACAUGACCAGUGUAAGUAACUUCCCAUCAUGUACAAUCACAAGAAUGGUUAGUUAUACUCCAUGAAAGUAUAAUAUGUCAUAAUACACUCUACUGUCAUGUAUAACUAAAAAGAACAAAUUAAAAAAAAUUAAAAAGAACCAAAUAUAGCUUACCAGCUCUCCACCCACCCCCACACCUU